GUGAAACUAAUUAUAUAAGUAGCAUGUUUAGGGUGGUGGUGGCUAUAGUAUUUGGGCAAAGUGUAGAUUUUAUGUUAGUAGUGGGGCCUCCUUUGGUAAUCUUCUUUUGAGAUAUGUCAUGGGCAAUGAAGGGGCUCCAUCUAAUUUUCAUUGCUUUGGUUCUUUGGAGAGAUACAAGUGGAUUCGGAGUGUGGAAUACAACCUCUGUUGUUGAUUGGCAAGCUGGACGCUCUAAUGCAACAUGGAACCAAAAUUUUCACUUCGCUACGCCUGUUCAAGCUUUGGAGCUACUGUCCAGAAAAAGUGCAAAUGGAAAUGUUGACGGAGGAAAUUCUAGUAGUUUCAGUUAUACUUCAGAAGUCCAAACUGCUCAACAGGAUUCUAGUUUUGUUCAGUCUUCUGGUGGUGCUGCUCAAGGUAAACCUGUACUAAAUGCUCAAGGUCAAGCAACUCCCAUGGUUCAACCGCAGGACAACUUGAUGACUCAGUCCUCAAGGCUCUAUUGGUUUGAAUCUCUCAAGCCUGAAAACUGUGGCACUUUGCUCUCUCAAUCUUGGCCUCAAAAAGGUCAGAAUAACGGUGGAUUCCAAAGACCAUCCAGGUUCCAGUUUGGAGGCACUGCAAACCAGACAUCUGGAUCCCAGACCCAGUCGUCAUACCAGCCUAGCACCACAACACAGGUUCAGACAGGCGAGUCUAUUGCCCAGCCUGAGUCUUUCGGAGCUUCAGCUUCAUAUCCAAGUCAAACCUCUGGCAUGUACUCUGUUGUACAGGGUCCUCUGAUUGCAUCCUCUUCCCAAAUGCCUGGGUUCCACAUCCAGUCAUCAUACCAGCCUGGCACCACAACACAGGUUCAGACAGGCCAGUCUGCGUCUACAUCUCAGGCUCAGUCCUCUGGUGCGUCAACGUUGUAUCAAGGGAUUAGCUCUGGCAGGUAUCUGACUUCACUGGGUCAUAUAAUUCCAUCCUCCUCCCAGUCUGUGGUCACUACAAACCAGACAUCUGGAUCCCAGACCCAGUCAUCAUACCAGCCUAGCACUACAACGCUCCUUCAGACAGGCCAGCCUGUUCUUCCUCAGAGUCAGCCUUCGGGAGCUUCUGCUUCAUAUCCAAGUCAAACCUCUGGCGUGUACAAUAUUGCACAGCGUCCAUUGACUGCAACCCUUUCCGAAAUACCUGGGUUCCACAUCCAGUCAUCAUACCAGCCUGGCACUACAACACUGCUUCAGACAGGCCAGUCUGCGUCUACAUCUCAGGCUCAGUCCUCUGGUGCAUCAACAUUGUAUCAAGGAAUUAGGAGGAAUGUGACUUCUCUGGGUCAUGGCUUUCCAUACUCAACCCAGUCUGUGGUGACUGCAAACCAGACAUCUGGAUCCCAGACCCAGUCAUCAUACCAGCCUGGCACUACAACACUGCUUCAGACAGGCCAGUCUGCUCCUACAUCUCAGGCUCAGUCCUCUGGUGCAUCAACAUUGUAUCAAGGAAUUAGGAGAAAUGUGACUUCUCUGGGUCAUGGCUUUCCAUACUCAACCCAGUCUGUGGUGACUGCAAACCAGACAUCUGGAUCCCAGACCCAGUCAUCAUACCAGCCUGGCACCACAACACUGCUUCAGACAGGCCAGUCUGCUUCUACAUCUCAGGCUCUUGGCAGCCCUGGAGCUGCACCUUCAGGACAUGCUAAAUGGUACACCAUUGUACAAGGACAGACAAUUCCAUCUUCUCAAGCCUCUGGAUCCCAGACCCAGUCAUCAUACCAGCCUGGCACCACAACACAGGUUCAGUCUAUUGCCCAGCCUGAGUCUUUCGGAGCUUCAGCUUCAUAUCCAAGUCAAACCUCUGGCAUGUACUCUGUUGUACAGGGUCCUCUGAUUGCAUCCUCUUCCCAAAUGCCUGGGUUCCACAUCCAGUCAUCAUACCAGCCUGGCACCACAACACAGGUUCAGACAGGCCAGUCUGCGUCUACAUCUCAGGCUCAGUCCUCUGGUGCGUCAACGUUGUAUCGAGGGAUUAGCUCUGGCAGGUAUCUGACUUCACUGGGUCAUAUAAUUCCAUCCUCCUCCCAGUCUGUGGUCACUACAAACCAGACAUCUGGAUCCCAGACCCAGUCAUCAUACCAGCCUGGCACCACAACACUGCUUCAGACAGGCCAGUCUGCUUCUACAUCUCAGGCUCUUGGCAGCCAUGGAGCUGCACCUUCAGGACAUGCUAAAUGGUACACCAUUGUACAAGGUCAGACAAUUCCAUCUUCUCAAGCCUCUGGAUCCCAGACCCAGUCAUCAUACCAGCCUGGCACCACAACACAGGUUCAGACAGGCCAGUCUGCUUCUACAUCUCAGGCUCAGUCCUCUGGUGCAUCAACAUUGUAUCCAGGGAUUAGGAGGAAUGUGACUUCUCUGGGUCAUGGCUUUCCAUACUCAACCCAGUCUGUGGUGACCGCAAACCAGACAUCUGGAUCCCAGACCCAGUCAUCAUACCAGCCUAGCACUACAACACUCCUUCAGACAGGCAGGCCUGUUCUUCCUCAGAGUCAGCCUUCGGGAGCUUCUGCUUCAUAUCCAAGUCAAACCUCUGGCGUGUACAAUAUUGCACAGCGUCCAUUGACUGCAACCCUUUCCGAAAUACCUGGGUUCCACAUCCAGUCAUCAUACCAGCCUGGCACCACAACACAGGUUCAGACAGGCCAGUCUGCGUCUACAUCUCAGGCUCAGUCCUCUGGUGCAUCAACAUUGUAUCAAGGAAUUAGGAGGAAUGUGACUUCUCUGGGUCAUGGCUUUCCAUACUCAACCCAGUCUGUGGUGACUGCAAACCAGACAUCUGGAUCCCAGACCCAGUCAUCAUACCAGCCUGGCACCACAACACUGCUUCAGACAGGCCAGUCUGCUUCUACAUCCCAGGCUCUUGGCAGCCAUGAGCUGCACCUUCAGGACAUGCUAAAUGGUACACCAUUGUACAAGGUCAGACAAUUCCAUCUUCUCAAGCGUCUGGAUCCCAGACCCAGUCAUCAUACCAGCCUAGCACUACAACACUGCUUCAGACAGGCCAGCCUGUUCUUCCUCAGAGUCAGCCUUCGGGAGCUUCUGCUCCAUAUCCAAGUCAAACCUCUGGCGUGUACAAUAUUGCACAGCGUCCAUUGACUGCAAACCCUUUCCGAAAUACCUGGGUUCCACAUCCAGUCAUCAUACCAGCCUGGCACUACAACACUGCUUCAGACAGGCCAGUCUGCGUCUACAUCUCAGGCUCAGUCCUCUGGUGCAUCAACAUUGUAUCAAGGAAAUUAGGAGGAAUGUGACUUCUCUGGGUCAUGGCUUUCCAUACUCAACCCAGUCUGUGGUGACUGCAAACCAGACAUCUGGAUCCCAGACCCAGUCAUCAUACCAGCCUGGCACCACAACACUGCUUCAGACAGGCCAGUCUGCUCUACAUCUCAGGCUCUUGGCAGCCAUGGAGCUGCACCUUCAGGACAUGCUAAAUGGUACACCAUUGUACAAGGUCAGACAAUUCCAUCUUCUCAAGCGUCUGGAUCCCAGACCCAGUCAUCAUACCAGCCUAGCACUAC
This is a long non-coding RNA of Ictalurus punctatus (channel catfish), 3556 nucleotides long. NCBI's taxonomy places the organism in Eukaryota, Metazoa, Chordata, Actinopteri, Siluriformes, Ictaluridae. The record is from Ensembl.